This 215-nucleotide long non-coding RNA is filed under the name Ananas comosus (pineapple). RNAcentral describes it as "long non-coding RNA (ACOM_LNC007483)". The record is from RNAcentral. Lineage: Eukaryota; Viridiplantae; Streptophyta; Magnoliopsida; Poales; Bromeliaceae.
UAUUCGCAGUGGUGGAAAUGCGUAAUCUGUUGCCGAGAUGUGUUUAAAUGUGGCGCUACCUAUGAGUUAGGUGACGAAAAAAUUAUCAGGCUGUGGUCCGACAUCUGGAUUGGAGAAACCUCCCUAAGCACCCUAUUUCCUGACAUCUAUCGGAGAAUUACGAACAAGGAAGCCCGAGUCUACCAAUGCUGGAACUCCAAUGGAUGGAGAUGGCG